GACGAACGCUGGCGGCGUGCUUAACACAUGCAAGUCGAACGGAAAGGCCUCUUUCGGGGGGUACUCGAGUGGCGAACGGGUGAGUAACACGUGAGUAACCUGCCCUUGACUUUGGGAUAAUUUCAGGAAACUGGGGCUAAUACCGGAUAGGAGCUCCUGCUGCAUGGUGGGGGUUGGAAAGUUUCGGCGGUUGGGGAUGGACUCGCGGCUUAUCAGCUUGUUGGUGGGGUAGUGGCUUACCAAGGCUUUGACGGGUAGCCGGCCUGAGAGGGUGACCGGCCACAUUGGGACUGAGAUACGGCCCAGACUCCUACGGGAGGCAGCAGUGGGGAAUAUUGCACAAUGGGUGGAAGCCUGAUGCAGCAACGCCGUGUGCGGGAUGACGGCCUUCGGGUUGUAAACCGCUUUCGCUCAUGACGAAGCUUUGUGUGACGGUAGUGGGUAAAGAAGCACCGGCUAACUACGUG
This 467-nucleotide ribosomal RNA is filed under the name uncultured bacterium. RNAcentral's name for it is "partial 16S ribosomal RNA". It matches the Rfam family "Bacterial small subunit ribosomal RNA", at positions 28 to 507 of the family's 1533-position model. The record is from RNAcentral.